This 1134-nucleotide long non-coding RNA is filed under the name Homo sapiens (human). Its description in RNAcentral is "HSALNT0260216". Lineage: Eukaryota; Metazoa; Chordata; Mammalia; Primates; Hominidae. The record is from RNAcentral.
GUUUGGGGAAGGGAAGGUGCGGGGGCGGGAAAGGGGUGUACAGGCGCUUGGGCUGGGAGGGUUGGUCGGCGCGGGCUGAGGGAGGCGCCAAGGCCCGAGCAGAGGAGGGGGCGCCGCCCUGCGUUCCCCUCCCCUCCCCGCGCUCACGAGAUUUUCCACUCGCCGCCUGGCCCCCAGCCAACCCCCGGCAGGCUCCACAAAGCCGCUUUGUGCAGGGAGGGCGGACGGGUGCCCGGCCGGCCUGACACCCACGCGGGCCGCGGCGGGGCGCCGGCCAGCUGGCACCCGAGCUGUCUGCGGUGGGAGGGAGGGUACCCCACCCAGCCCGAGGACGCGGCAGCGCAGGGGUUAAUCGCUCAGGGGCGGAGAAGCAGGUCUCGGCCAAUCAGCGGUCAGCGGGCGAGACGGCAGCCAAUGAGAAGGACGGAGGCCCGACACAGGAGGGUGGGAGAGCGGAGGAUUACGCGGAGCAACUCAGGAACCUCUCCAGAGCCAGUGUACCCUAAGAUUUCCCACUUGCUGAGUCUACUGUCUCCAUCCCACCAUCCCCAAGGCCUCCUCUCUGGCUGCUGUCAACUCAUGUGAUACCUCAGUCAGCACCAGGCACAGGUGAGCACCUGAGUCCCCUGAGUAUACACACUCUGGCUCCUUGGGGAACAGACACCUGCUGGCUCUGCAAAGGACACAGAGCACAUGCUCUGAAUGCCCCAAGGGGACAUCAAAAGCACUAACAGUUCACACCUAUGGAGCACUCCCUGUGUCCUGAACUCCAUGCUAAGCUUGCCUUUAUUAACCUGUUUCAUCCUCACAACAGCCCUAAAAGCAGGUGCUACUAUCGGCCUCAUUUCACACCUGAGGAAACUGAGCCACAAAAAGAUGAGACAACUUGUCCAAGAUCAUCCAGGUGGGAAACAGCAGUGCUAGGGUCUGAACCCAGGCUCUCUGGCUCCAGAGUCCGUGCUCCUGACCAUUUCAGUGUGCUGCCUGUCACAUGAUCCAGAGGGCACAUUUACUCGCACUGUCACCAUGCAGAGAGUACAUGCACUCAGACACACACACACAUGCACAAGUACCAAGUCACAAAAAGGGUGGUGACUGGGCUGUGAUAUGAGCCUUUCUCCACCCCCCCACCCU